Molecule: long non-coding RNA, 2456 nt
Organism: Phacochoerus africanus (Common warthog)
Lineage: Eukaryota; Metazoa; Chordata; Mammalia; Artiodactyla; Suidae
Exons: 4
Source: RefSeq, a predicted model, not a curated record
UAAAAGAAAAUGCAGUCUUUACAUUUGGCUUUAAUCCAGUAUGACGUAGGUCCUUAUUAAGAAGAGCAUAUGAAGACAGAGCCAGAGUAAAGACUGCCAUCCACUAGCCAAUGACACAUCCUGCCCUCAACAAUCCUCAGAAGGAACCCACCCUGAUACACUUUGAAUGUGGACUUUCAGUCUUCAAACUGUAAGAUAGUAAAGUUCUGAUGUUUAAGCCACCCGCUUUGUGGCACUCGGUUGCAACAGCGCCAGCAAACUUAUAUAGCACAAAUACAACAAAGCAUGUAUUGAGAGUAGGGCUGUUGAAGGAAGAAAAGAAUCUUUUCCAUUCGAGAUGUUAGUUCAGUGCAGGUAGAUGUGUAGCAUGUGGUUUCAGUGCUCAGCAACUGAGAACAGGGAGCUGCUUCUGAUAAAUUUUGAAUGCUUCCUUUUGGGGGAUUGUUUAAACACAAGAGUUCAGAGUAAGCCCAGAAGAAAGAUCCCCUAGCCAUCUGCAGGAGGCAUGCAUAUACAUGCACCUUUGGUACCACCCUAAGCUGACUGGCAGAGGCGACGCUCCUCUGAGAGGAUUGUAUGGAAACGCAGCCAUGAUUGCAGAAGGGUGGAAACAAGGAAUGUGAUUUUUAUCAAAUGUGUCUUUAAAGUGUAGCUUUUUCCCAAAAGCUGAAUAAAAUAUUUCUCAGAAAUGAGGAAUGAUAAGAAUAAAAUAUUUAUUGAAAAAUGACUUUGAAUAGACUUUUGGUUAGGAGUCUUCUUAUUUCUCAACCCAUCCUCUUAAAUCUUUUCCCAAAACACAGGCACAGGUAGUGCAGAAAAGUUGAAAGGGACAAUUUCCUGUACUGAUAAAUAAAACUGCUCUAUGAGUUGGAAUAUAAUGACAGAAAACAAUGAAAACUCAAGUUUUUCCUCAGAGUAUCCUGAUUGGUUCUCGAUAGUAUCCUAUCCCCGUGAUGGUCACGUGGAUGUUUCUUCUCCUCCCUCACUGCGGUCCUUGCUGGACCGAUUGAGGUGCUAGAAUUAAUAAAGACCAUAACUUGAAGGCAAGUUCUAAUCCAGUGUUCCUUGCCUUCUUCUUUGGCCUCAAGGUAAAUAGGUCAGUAGCUAAUUAAUUUGGAGUUUCUUUGAGAGUCUUGAUUCUAUCACCAGGUCAGUAAUUACUAUUCAGGGCAUUGCUAUGCUUUGACGUUUGCCUGAAGUAUAAAUUAUUAGUGUCUCAAAAAAGUCAUUGGCCUGAAAGGAAAACAUUAGAGACAAAAUAAAAGGAGGAUUAAAAUACUUCUGAGCUGUUUUUCCUCUCUUCCUCAAGGCAGGGAACCACCUCGAGGGGGCCCCUGUGAAGGUGAGUCUCUGGAGAGCAUUGUGGGCUACAGUCUUCCUCCUUAUGGCCGUGUCAGGAGUCCAAGCAUGGGUUGCUAAUAGGAUGGCUCAUGGAUUGGAGAUGGGAUUUUGAAACACAAGAGAGCCACGAACCAGGCUUGGGAGAAGGAGAUGGAGGAGGAGUACAUUGUUAAUCAGUUCUCCAAGUGUGGAUGACCGCUGUGGCCAAGCAUGGCAGGCUGGAUUUUCUGGAGUUACGGGCACAUGAAAACCUGUUCUAUGCUACAUGUUCUUCCUGUAGAGAGGCAAUGAUACCCUUGAUGAAAGGACCUGUAUCAUGGCAACCCCAAGGCAACAUGUGAGAAAUCUGGCCGGCCCAAGGCCACCAUGCUAGAGAGACCACAUGGAGAUGCCAUAUCAAGCUAGAGAGGAAUGAGGAAUGCCUUCAAUGGUUUGAGUCUGCCCAGCUCAGCUUCUGGUCACAUAUAUAAAGAAGCCUUCAGUAUGACCCCAGGCCCAGCUGCUGUCUGACUGCAACCUCCUAAGAGGCCCAGAGACAGACCUUUAAGUGGAAAUGCUCUAAACUUGCAGAAACCAUAAGAAGUAAUAAAUAAUAACUGUUAUUUAAGUCUCUGAGUUUUAAGAUAUUUUGUUAUACAGAACUAGAUAACUGCAACUAUAGUCACUCUGUGUUUAAUUUUUUAUACAGGAAUUGGGCUGCUGUUCAGAUUAGGCUUUUUGAUCUUUGUUUCAUACUGUGGUAGCUGUUUAUUUGUGAAUAUAAAUUUUGUUUUCAUAUUGUUUUCUUCUCUAUUGUACAUUCUGUUAUAAAUUCUUUAUUAACAGUAAUUGACUUUUUCAGCUAAAACAUGUAUCCCUUUCGUUUGUUACCCAAAUUUCCCCCCUAGGAGUAGUUCAAGUGGCAUUUCAGGUAUUUAGUAUUUUGUACUUUAAUUAAGGUACAACUCAUGAAAACAGUUAUUGAACUGUUGAACAUUUCAUGAAUAUUGAGACAGUAUUAAAAUUAAAGAGAAGUGUACCAGCAACUGUUUAUAGUCAUGUGAAAAUGUACUCUUUAUUUUGACACUUUCCAGAGAAUGUUUAUAUUUGAGGUGGGUAUUAUCAGACUCUUAGAA